Molecule: long non-coding RNA, 1369 nt
Organism: Amphibalanus amphitrite
Lineage: Eukaryota; Metazoa; Arthropoda; Thecostraca; Balanomorpha; Balanidae
Exons: 3
Source: RefSeq, a predicted model, not a curated record
CAGCACUGUUCAGCAUGGCUUUGGAUUCAACUCAAGGCGCUCAAUGCUAUAAACAUUUUCAAAUUUAAUGAAUUUUCUUGUUGGAUUUGUUUUUGAUAGGCCACGGAACAGGAAACGGAUUUUGAAAGGCUUGUUUCUGGGUGGUUCUGGAGACAGCGUGUCGAUCCAGCUGUAACGUCAUCCGGAGGUGCAGAGUGAUGGCCAGCCACGCGGCGCGCGUAUCGACAUUGACCAGAAACUAUCACAUCAUCUCCAGGUCACUGGUCGAGGGCGCUCGAGCUGACGGUGUCUUCCGACGGCUCCACGGUGACCAGCGCCGCCACCGCCGAGACCAUCCGACUCCUGAAAUGCUAACGGCCGUGCACGAACAAGAGGCUCUAAGCAUCCAGGUGCAAGGCAAGCGCCAUGCUCAGAUGUUUCCGAAGAAGGCCGCACAGUGCACUUUAGGGGUGAGCUCGGGUGUAGUGCGCGCCGACGGAUAGGAUGAAAUGACGGGCCGGCCAUCAGAUUUCACUUCAGUGCGGGGAUCAAGACGGUCGGAGCCGAUGUGGCUCGGUUGAUGGCAGGCUGCGGAGUCGGAGUCGGAGUCGGAGUCGGAGUCGGUCGGAGUCGACAGUUGUGACCGGAGUCGGAGUCGGAGUCGGAGUCGAUUUUAGAAACCCGAGCGGAGUCGGAGUCGGAGUCUCGAAAUCUGUCGACUCCGCAGCCCUGUUAGGUCUGCGGAGUCGGAGUCGGGAGUUGGAGUCGGUCGGAGUCGACAAUUCUGCCGGAGUCGGAGUUGGAGUCGGAGCUGGUUUUUGAAAGCCGGAGUGGGAGUCGGAGUCGGAGUCGCCGAAAAUCCAUCGACUCCGCAGCCCUGGUUGAUGGUGUGGCAGGGUUGAUUGAGAGUGAAAGCGAGACCCGGAUCUGUAAAGAAUACGCCGAUACGGGUCUCGAACGUCGUCUCGCAAUUUGUGCUCUGUAAUAUGGCGGCUAUGCCGUGGUAUCAUUCACUCUCGGUGCGCUAAUAAAUAAUAAAUAGGACAGAGGCUGGAAUUAAGAUAUUAUAUUUGGAUGUAAGGGGCAGGUUUGGGCCAGCGCUAUUUUAUAAAUCGUGAGCGUGCUAGUUGCAAUCAAUCGUGCGCUUCUUGUUGAGCAUCUGUGAGCGAGAAAAUACUUUCUUUGGAACUUAGCAGUUCGUCGUGAAAUAUUUGUAUCUUUGGAGUAAGUUGUCAGAACAUGAAUGCAUUUUUGGUGUCCACUGCAGCUGCUGUUCUGGAACAGAAACAUGCCGAGAUCGGCUGUGUUUGUAUGUUGUGGCAAAAUCAAGCAGCCGUACCAUGAAUCAAAAGCGAUAUGUGAAUUAAAGUGAAUAUUUCACUAUUUUUCA